UCAACCCUCAAGCUUCGCUUGGUGUUGGGUGUCGCCCAGCCCCUUAGUGGCCAGGGCGCCCCCGAAAACUAUCGGCGGUGUGGCACCGGCUCCCGAGCGCAGCAGACCUCGCUGUGGGACCGGGUGCUGCGGCAGCCGCAGACGAUACCCAA
RNAcentral lists this unclassified non-coding RNA (152 nucleotides) under uncultured Ascomycota. Its description in RNAcentral is "sequence contains ITS2". The record is from RNAcentral. Lineage: Eukaryota; Fungi; Ascomycota.